AUUGAACGCUGGCGGCAGGCCUAACACAUGCAAGUCGAGCGGAAACGAGAAGUAGCUUGCUACUUCGGCGUCGAGCGGCGGACGGGUUAGUAAUGCCUAGGAAAUUGCCCUGAUGUGGGGGAUAACCAUUGGAAACGAUGGCUAAUACCGCAUAAUGCCUUUGGGCCAAAGAGGGGGACCUUCGGGCCUCUCGCGUCAGGAUAUGCCUAGGUGGGAUUAGCUAGUUGGUGAGGUAAUGGCUUACCAAGGCGACGAUCCCUAGCUGGUCUGAGAGGAUGAUCAGCCACACUGGAACUGAGACACGGUCCAGACUCCUACGGGAGGCAGCAGUGGGGAAUAUUGCACAAUGGGCGCAAGCCUGAUGCAGCCAUGCCGCGUGUAUGAAGAAGGCCUUCGGGUUGU
This 402-nucleotide ribosomal RNA is filed under the name uncultured bacterium. Its description in RNAcentral is "bacterial SSU rRNA". It matches the Rfam family "Bacterial small subunit ribosomal RNA", at positions 30 to 426 of the family's 1533-position model. The record is from RNAcentral.